GGGUUGUGAGGUUAAGCGACUAAGCGUACACGGUGGAUGCCCUGGCAGUCAGAGGCGAUGAAGGACGUGCUAAUCUGCGAUAAGCGUCGGUAAGGUGAUAUGAACCGUUAUAACCGGCGAUUUCCGAAUGGGGAAACCCAGUGUGUUUCGACACACUAUCAUUAACUGAAUCCAUAGGUUAAUGAGGCGAACCGGGGGAACUGAAACAUCUAAGUACCCCGAGGAAAAGAAAUCAACCGAGAUUCCCCCAGUAGCGGCGAGCGAACGGGGAGCAGCCCAGAGCCUGAAUCAGUGUGUGUGUUAGUGGAAGCGUCUGGAAAGGCGCGCGAUACAGGGUGACAGCCCCGUACACAAAAAUGCACAUACUGUGAGCUCGAUGAGUAGGGCGGGACACGUGGUAUCCUGUCUGAAUAUGGGGGGACCAUCCUCCAAGGCUAAAUACUCCUGACUGACCGAUAGUGAACCAGUACCGUGAGGGAAAGGCGAAAAGAACCCCGGCGAGGGGAGUGAAAAAGAACCUGAAACCGUGUACGUACAAGCAGUGGGAGCCUCUUUAUGGGGUGACUGCGUACCUUUUGUAUAAUGGGUCAGCGACUUAUAUUCUGUAGCAAGGUUAACCGAAUAGGGGAGCCGAAGGGAAACCGAGUCUUAACUGGGCGUUAAGUUGCAGGGUAUAGACCCGAAACCCGGUGAUCUAGCCAUGGGCAGGUUGAAGGUUGGGUAACACUAACUGGAGGACCGAACCGACUAAUGUUGAAAAAUUAGCGGAUGACUUGUGGCUGGGGGUGAAAGGCCAAUCAAACCGGGAGAUAGCUGGUUCUCCCCGAAAGCUAUUUAGGUAGCGCCUCGUGAACUCAUCUCCGGGGGUAGAGCACUGUUUCGGCAAGGGGGUCAUCCCGACUUACCAACCCGAUGCAAACUGCGAAUACCGGAGAAUGUUAUCACGGGAGACACACGGCGGGUGCUAACGUCCGUCGUGAAGAGGGAAACAACCCAGACCGCCAGCUAAGGUCCCAAAGUCAUGGUUAAGUGGGAAACGAUGUGGGAAGGCCCAGACAGCCAGGAUGUUGGCUUAGAAGCAGCCAUCAUUUAAAGAAAGCGUAAUAGCUCACUGGUCGAGUCGGCCUGCGCGGAAGAUGUAACGGGGCUAAACCAUGCACCGAAGCUGCGGCAGCGACGCUUAUGCGUUGUUGGGUAGGGGAGCGUUCUGUAAGCCUGUGAAGGUGUGCUGUGAGGCAUGCUGGAGGUAUCAGAAGUGCGAAUGCUGACAUAAGUAACGAUAAAGCGGGUGAAAAGCCCGCUCGCCGGAAGACCAAGGGUUCCUGUCCAACGUUAAUCGGGGCAGGGUGAGUCGACCCCUAAGGCGAGGCCGAAAGGCGUAGUCGAUGGGAAACAGGUUAAUAUUCCUGUACUUGGUGUUACUGCGAAGGGGGGACGGAGAAGGCUAUGUUGGCCGGGCGACGGUUGUCCCGGUUUAAGCGUGUAGGCUGGUUUUCCAGGCAAAUCCGGAAAAUCAAGGCUGAGGCGUGAUGACGAGGCACUACGGUGCUGAAGCAACAAAUGCCCUGCUUCCAGGAAAAGCCUCUAAGCAUCAGGUAACAUCAAAUCGUACCCCAAACCGACACAGGUGGUCAGGUAGAGAAUACCAAGGCGCUUGAGAGAACUCGGGUGAAGGAACUAGGCAAAAUGGUGCCGUAACUUCGGGAGAAGGCACGCUGAUAGGUAGGUGAAGCGACUUGCUCGUGGAGCUGAAAUCAGUCGAAGAUACCAGCUGGCUGCAACUGUUUAUUAAAAACACAGCACUGUGCAAACACGAAAGUGGACGUAUACGGUGUGACGCCUGCCCGGUGCCGGAAGGUUAAUUGAUGGGGUCAGCCGCAAGGCGAAGCUCUUGAUCGAAGCCCCGGUAAACGGCGGCCGUAACUAUAACGGUCCUAAGGUAGCGAAAUUCCUUGUCGGGUAAGUUCCGACCUGCACGAAUGGCGUAAUGAUGGCCAGGCUGUCUCCACCCGAGACUCAGUGAAAUUGAACUCGCUGUGAAGAUGCAGUGUACCCGCGGCAAGACGGAAAGACCCCGUGAACCUUUACUAUAGCUUGACACUGAACAUUGAGCCUUGAUGUGUAGGAUAGGUGGGAGGCUUUGAAGCGUGGACGCCAGUCUGCGUGGAGCCGACCUUGAAAUACCACCCUUUAAUGUUUGAUGUUCUAACGUGGACCCGUGAUCCGGGUUGCGGACAGUGUCUGGUGGGUAGUUUGACUGGGGCGGUCUCCUCCUAAAGAGUAACGGAGGAGCACGAAGGUUGGCUAAUCCUGGUCGGACAUCAGGAGGUUAGUGCAAUGGCAUAAGCCAGCUUGACUGCGAGCGUGACGGCGCGAGCAGGUGCGAAAGCAGGUCAUAGUGAUCCGGUGGUUCUGAAUGGAAGGGCCAUCGCUCAACGGAUAAAAGGUACUCCGGGGAUAACAGGCUGAUACCGCCCAAGAGUUCAUAUCGACGGCGGUGUUUGGCACCUCGAUGUCGGCUCAUCACAUCCUGGGGCUGAAGUAGGUCCCAAGGGUAUGGCUGUUCGCCAUUUAAAGUGGUACGCGAGCUGGGUUUAGAACGUCGUGAGACAGUUCGGUCCCUAUCUGCCGUGGGCGCUGGAGAACUGAGGGGGGCUGCUCCUAGUACGAGAGGACCGGAGUGGACGCAUCACUGGUGUUCGGGUUGUCAUGCCAAUGGCACUGCCCGGUAGCUAAAUGCGGAAGAGAUAAGUGCUGAAAGCAUCUAAGCACGAAACUUGCCCCGAGAUGAGUUCUCCCUGACUCCUUGAGAGUCCUGAAGGAACGUUGAAGACGACGACGUUGAUAGGCCGGGUGUGUAAGCGCAGCGAUGCGUUGAGCUAACCGGUACUAAUGAACCGUGAGGCUUAACCUUACAACGCCGAAG
Molecule: ribosomal RNA, 2926 nt
Filed under: Escherichia sp. 4726-5
Lineage: Bacteria; Pseudomonadati; Pseudomonadota; Gammaproteobacteria; Enterobacterales; Enterobacteriaceae
Description: bacterial LSU rRNA
Rfam family: Bacterial large subunit ribosomal RNA
Source: RNAcentral